Drosophila elegans is the source of this 2856-nucleotide long non-coding RNA. RefSeq lists it as uncharacterized. The record is from RefSeq and is a predicted model, not a curated record. The transcript is spliced from 2 exons. Lineage: Eukaryota; Metazoa; Arthropoda; Insecta; Diptera; Drosophilidae.
UUUGGGUGCUAUCAACGUUUGUCUUGCUCGCAAUUACGUAAAUUUUAAAAAAAAAGAGCAAUGAAUGAGGCCAACAAUGUAGUGUCAUAAGCCGAUUAUGAUAGCUCAUAUUCAUCUCUACCAAUGGUAAAAAAAUACAUGAAUUUCAGACAUAAAAACACAAAGAACUGCGAAUUGUUAUGGAGUUUUUGCGCAUUUUUUUUCUGUAUACUUAGAAAAAUGUUCAGAAGUUUUUAUUUUUUAAGGAAUAAAUUUGGGUUGCGACAUAUUGCUAUUAAACAAAAAAUUGAAAUAAAAAAUUUUCCCGAAAUGAUUCAGAGAUAUAUUUUGUUUUGUUAAAAUUCAUCCUGUAAAGUUUGGCGACAAUAUUUCAACAAUAAGCCAGUUAUUAUAAGUUAUCAGACAGAUAAUAUCUGAACUUCUCUACGGCAGUUAGUUUCUGGAAUUUGGUAAGAGUGGUUAAGUAAAUGCAUAAUGCAUACUAGCCAAAAUAUUGAACAUCUUUCUUCAAUGAAUAAGUCAGUGUUUUUUAAAACAAUAAUAGAUUCUAAAGUAGUACAAAUUUCGCUGUGGUUCGGACCUUAAACCAUUGAAUUCUCACUGCGUCUGACGACAAACCCAUGAUUUCAGGCCAAUUUUAAUUUCCAUUAGUUUCAUAAUAUUAAGAAUGGGAUAAAAGCCUUCAUUAAAAAUACAGACUGUAAAAUAAUUUGCAAUUCCAAUUGUUUGGUAUCCAGAAUUUAUAUGGCUGGAUCGACUUGUUAGUGACUUGUUGUUAUUUUGAGUUUCGCAACGCAAACAACGUUUUAAUAAAGAAUCCUCCGACAAGCUCUCAUAAAUAGGCUUCAAAACAUGUAAAACCUUAUCAGUUAGAGGUGAAUCCUCGUAGGAAAAGUCAUCCAGAGUUCCUUCAGCCGCUGCUUUCUGCCACUUGCACCUCAUGUCAUGUUAAUUGAUCUUAAAAACAAGACAUGUCUGUAAGUGUAGGCCACUUGAAAUGCCUAAUAUUAACGCUUAAGAUUUGUCCCACAUGCUCAGGCAAACAGAUGCAGUAUCUGCUUAGGCCAUAGUUAAAACUAGAAUAAGAAUCUUGGAAACUAUAUUUGAAAAAGUAAAACAUUUUAAAUUUAGAUCUCAAUGAAGAAGCGUAUUUCAUUUAGUUGUCAUCCCAAACAUUUUGGUCUUUGGGCAACUCUGCAGUAUUCCCCCACCAGUGGUAAGAGACUCAGUGCUAAGACCAGCAUCUUAAAUAUUAAAAAGUAAAUGCGCUUGCUAAAGGUAGCUAAAAACAAUUGACUCUUGUUUUCCCCCACCAGUGGUAAGAAACAGAGUAUAAAUUUAAAAAAAAAAAAGCAAAAGGAUAAAAAAGAAUCUUUUCUGUAUUUUAAAACUCAAAAAAUAAUACAUUUUUUGUAAAACGGUAGACGAGAAAUCAACAAGUUUUAAAUAAAAACAAAUUUUGCCAUCGGUCAAUUAUAUUUUCUGUGGCAAUUUCAAGGCCAGAAACAUAGAAAAAGUGCUUUCAAAAAAUUAGCGUAUUUGAAUUUGAAUGGACGCAAACUUCGGCAAGCCGAAGUUCGUAAAUAUUCUUGAAAACUUUAAAAUUAUUAUUUGCUUGCGUAUAUGUUUAAAAACAUUGAAGCUAUGAUGAUUUGCAGCUCAAUUAUUCGAUAGUUCUUAUGACAGCUAUAAUUUAAUACAACUGAAAGUGUUGUUGCAUUUUCAGUUGAAGCCGUCUGGAAAAUACUAAAACGAACCGAUACGUCAGCAGGUCCCGCUAUCGAUAAGAUUCGGUGGUGACACCGACUAUUGAUAGCGGGAGAGGAUCUAGCUAUUUAAAUUUAGCCCGGUUCGCUCGUUAACUGGGUUAAAUAGCCUUCAAUACGUUCGCUGACCCAUCUUGAGAGAGCGGGAGGGAAAAUGGCGAACGACUUUGGUGUAGGUCAGGGUUUUGCUUUAGUUGCUGCAAUAAGUCGCAGUAGAACAGUCGUGGAAAAAUAAGUUCAUAAGUGCAUUAUUAGUGUUUAGAUAAAUUAAACCACCGGGGACCCUAUCUAAAGGGCCCCGGAAAUUUAAGGGAUUCGGGAAUACUCACCUGGCGGACCUAACCUGGUCGUGAGGACCACGUCGGCCACCAGCGUCAGCAGCUCCAGCAACUGCCUCCGAGACGGCCACAUACGGAGAUUCCCUCGGUGAGUUCGUUCCGGGAACGAAUGCCCGCGCUGACCACUUGGUCAUCUCCAAGUCCACCGACGCACUGCCUCCGGCCCCUCUUACGCAGAUGCUGCGCUAUCCUCCGGAGUCCGCACGGAGGGACUCGCGCCUAUUUUCGCCGCUAGCGAUUCUUCUCUUCUGGCUGCAGCUUCAACCACAUCCGACGUUGAACUCUGCAAUUAAUAAGUUUAGUAAUUAAGUUUGUGAUAUCAUACAGUUAAGAUUGUCAAGUACUCACUGUGAAAUCUAAUCUUAAAUUAGAAGCUUAAUUCCGAACCCUAGCCGCGCGUCCAACUACGUCUAAAUUGGGUCCCGAAAUUUAAUGAGUUGUGGGAUUUAUUUAGCGUACUUACCUUUUCAGCACGUCCCUUCUUUUCCCUUGGAGCUCCUCAGGAUUAGGCGACCCGGUUGGCAAACGCCUCCAAUUUAGUGCCGUGCGGCGAUUUUUGCCUGACACUUGUAGUAUUAAGCGUCUAAAAAUUUCACUUCGGUUGUUGUCACUUUGACCGCUUUUCAUCUGGGCGACGGUCUGAGAUCGGCCUUGAGUGUUUCUAACGAAAAGAGUAGAUUAUUAGUAGGCAUCAAUAAUGAAUGUAUUUAUUUAUUAAUCUUGCCCAAAAUUAAAUGUGAACAAGCUACCGA